Cervus elaphus (red deer) is the source of this 322-nucleotide long non-coding RNA. RefSeq lists it as uncharacterized. The transcript has 3 exons. The record is from RefSeq and is a predicted model, not a curated record. NCBI's taxonomy places the organism in Eukaryota, Metazoa, Chordata, Mammalia, Artiodactyla, Cervidae.
CAGCCCGAUGCUUGCUGGCUGUUGCCAUAGUUUCUGUGUACACAUCGCUGUCCACUGCACUCCACUUCCUGCUGAGAUUGUAGCUGAAUGUACCCUCUCACCUGAGGCCAAUUGCACCACAGACGCUGCUUCACGUAAACACUGUGCAUGAAGUGGCCAGUGUCACAGAAGAGGAAAGCAAGGUCCGCGAGGAUGACCUGAGAACUCAAGGUUACCCCGCUGGAGAUGAAAUGCUGAAUGGCCACCAAGAUGGAGAGGCUGGAAGGAUGAAGAUAGUUACCAGAGAUGAGGACGGAGUCUCUGAGAGCAAUUCAGAUCUGCA